GGGUAGAUGGCGAAACUGGUAGACGCGUCAUAUUCAAAAUAUGAUAAUUCAUAAUUGUAAGGGUUCGAUUCCCUUUCUACCUA
RNAcentral lists this transfer RNA (83 nucleotides) under Merotricha bacillata. RNAcentral's name for it is "tRNA-Leu". It matches the Rfam family "tRNA". From Rfam's summary of the family: Transfer RNA (tRNA) molecules are approximately 80 nucleotides in length. Their secondary structure includes four short double-helical elements and three loops (D, anti-codon, and T loops). Further hydrogen bonds mediate the characteristic L-shaped molecular structure. tRNAs have two regions of fundamental functional importance: the anti-codon, which is responsible for specific mRNA codon recognition, and the 3' end, to which the tRNAs corresponding amino acid is attached (by aminoacyl-tRNA synthetases). tRNAs cope with the degeneracy of the genetic code in two manners: having more than one tRNA (with a specific anti-codon) for a particular amino acid; and 'wobble' base-pairing, i.e. permitting non-standard base-pairing at the 3rd anti-codon position. The record is from RNAcentral. Lineage: Eukaryota; Raphidophyceae; Chattonellales; Vacuolariaceae.